This 23-nucleotide non-coding RNA is filed under the name Arabidopsis thaliana (thale cress). Lineage: Eukaryota; Viridiplantae; Streptophyta; Magnoliopsida; Brassicales; Brassicaceae. The record is from RNAcentral.
AUAAAUCCUGGAGUUAGAACUUA